GACGAACGCUGGCGGCGUGCUUAACACAUGCAAGUCGAACGGAAAGGCCCUGCUUUUGUGGGGUGCUCGAGUGGCGAACGGGUGAGUAACACGUGAGUAACCUGCCCUUGACUUUGGGAUAACUUCAGGAAACUGGGGCUAAUACCGGAUAGGAGCUCCUGCUGCAUGGUGGGGGUUGGAAAGUUUCGGCGGUUGGGGAUGGACUCGCGGCUUAUCAGCUUGUUGGUGGGGUAGUGGCUUACCAAGGAUUGGACGGGUAGCCGGCCUGAGAGGGUGACCGGCCACAGUGGGACUGAGAUACGGCCCAGACGCCUACGGGAGGAAGGAGUGGGGAAUAGUGCACAAUGGGCGGAGGCCUGAUGCAGCAACGCCGCGUGCGGGAGGACGGCUUUCGGGUUGUAAACGGCUUUCGCCUGUGACGAAGCGUGAGUGACGGUAAUGGGUAAAGAAGCACCGGCUAACUACGU
RNAcentral lists this ribosomal RNA (467 nucleotides) under uncultured bacterium. Its description in RNAcentral is "partial 16S ribosomal RNA". It matches the Rfam family "Bacterial small subunit ribosomal RNA", at positions 28 to 506 of the family's 1533-position model. The record is from RNAcentral.